RNAcentral lists this small RNA (105 nucleotides) under Arabidopsis thaliana (thale cress). RNAcentral's name for it is "ATSL116900". The record is from RNAcentral. Lineage: Eukaryota; Viridiplantae; Streptophyta; Magnoliopsida; Brassicales; Brassicaceae.
UUAAAGAAUGUGAAAUUUCUAAAAAAUCCAUCUUCAUGGGACGGAGGGAGUAUAAAUUAGACCCUAAAUAUGACUCUAACAAUUGGUGAAAUAAACAAUUGGUAA